UUAAAUUAUUUUCUAAUUCUUCAACAUCAUGUCAGUUGAACUAAAUGGCAUGUCAAUCAGGCCUCCCCUCAUUCCGCACCCAGACACUCCCUGUUGCUAAUUUGAGAUGGACAGCAAUAACCCUCCCUGGUGCCUGAGAGCCUAAAUCUCAGUAAUUGUCAUGGGGGUUUGGUGAUAGAAAUGAACACUCACCGUUCAAUCCAAAGACCAGGAGUUUGCAUAGUACUUAAAGGUGGCAAAUACACUCUAGCACAGGGGUCUCAAGCUCCAGUCCUGGGAGGGCACAGUCUCUUCUAGUGUUUGUAAUUUCCUUUCAAUCAGAAGCUACUCCUUAGGCAAUCAUUUAUUAAUAAAUCAAUCAUAAAUUAUGGCAAUGCACUAGCAGUGAAGCACCCCAUGAUCUGAAAAUGAGUCCUUGCCAUUGCAAAUCAGGACAAAGACCUGCUGCAUUCUGGCACCUUGCUCUUCUUCUUCUUGAUGAUGAUGAUGAUGACAGUGAUGAAGAGCAGAACUGUGGCCGUGAUCGAUGCUCCUGAAAUCUGGCGUUGUGCUGAUUCUGGCUGUGAGUCUGCAGAAGUCAAGGACAUUUACAGCAGAGUUUAGGUGUAGCGGUGUCCCUCUCUCAACUCUUCGGCACUGACGCUCAGGCUCAUCCUCAGUUGGUACGUCCCGUCUCCAUUUGGCAGAAUAUCACCUCCGAUCAGCUUUUGCUCCGGAACAGGCUGGUUAUCCCUCUUCAACGUCAGCUCGAUGUGUCGGGGGUAGAAUCCUGUUGCCAGACAGGUUACCUCUACCCCACCAGCACCGCCAACUUGUUUCUGAAAAACUCUAAUCCUGGGACUCACUGGGGGUAGGAGAGUGGAAGGAG
Anguilla rostrata (American eel) is the source of this 868-nucleotide long non-coding RNA. RefSeq lists it as uncharacterized. The transcript has 3 exons. NCBI's taxonomy places the organism in Eukaryota, Metazoa, Chordata, Actinopteri, Anguilliformes, Anguillidae. The record is from RefSeq and is a predicted model, not a curated record.